CACUGCUGAAGACCUGGACCGGGAGA
This 26-nucleotide non-coding RNA is filed under the name Homo sapiens (human). Lineage: Eukaryota; Metazoa; Chordata; Mammalia; Primates; Hominidae. The record is from RNAcentral.